MicroRNA precursor from Gallus gallus (chicken), 107 nucleotides. NCBI's taxonomy places the organism in Eukaryota, Metazoa, Chordata, Aves, Galliformes, Phasianidae. The record is from Ensembl.
GCGCGGCACCUGCUCCGGCCGCCGGCUGCAGGGAUGCUCCUGCCCUCCGCCGAGCACUGGCGAGGCUGCGGCAAUCCCUGCGCCGGCGCCCGGCAGCCGCUGCCGGC